GCCAGGUGUGGUGGCGGGCGCCUGUAAUCCUAGCUACUUAGGAGGCUGAGGCAGGAGAAUCACUUGAACCCGGGAACGCGGAGAUUGCAGUGAGCUGAGAUCAUGCCACUGGACUCCAGCCUGGGCAACAGAGUGAGACUCCGUCUCAC
RNAcentral lists this non-coding RNA (149 nucleotides) under Chlorocebus sabaeus (green monkey). Lineage: Eukaryota; Metazoa; Chordata; Mammalia; Primates; Cercopithecidae. The record is from Rfam by way of RNAcentral.